UGCUCCUGCACCUCGAAAAGCAGCUUAUGAUCCAUACAUCGAGAGUAUCAUCAGCUCUGAUGAUGAAGAAACACCAACUUUAGAUGUGGCUGCUCGAACGAGCACGUCACAUACUUUAGUUAUUUCAGAAAAACCAGUUGAAGGGGAGGAAUCGUCGCCUCCUCAACAAAAUGUUGAUACAUCUACUCCUUCGAGCCCCCGUGCCCCUUCACCAAAAAGGGCACGGGUUGAAAAGAUUGUUGAUCCUGCCCCUCAGUUGGGCAGUUCGUCGCCCCCGCUCCUAGAUGAUCCUAUGAUCAAGGAUCUUCUCCGCAUCGGUUCCCAAUUUAUUGGGUACCGUGAAUAUGCUAAUAGAGCCGAAGGU
Non-coding RNA from Lolium perenne, 364 nucleotides. NCBI's taxonomy places the organism in Eukaryota, Viridiplantae, Streptophyta, Magnoliopsida, Poales, Poaceae. The record is from RefSeq and is a predicted model, not a curated record.